RNAcentral lists this ribosomal RNA (1561 nucleotides) under Klebsiella pneumoniae. Its description in RNAcentral is "16S ribosomal RNA". It matches the Rfam family "Bacterial small subunit ribosomal RNA". Lineage: Bacteria; Pseudomonadati; Pseudomonadota; Gammaproteobacteria; Enterobacterales; Enterobacteriaceae. The record is from RNAcentral.
AGAGUUUGAUCAUGGCUCAGAUUGAACGCUGGCGGCAGGCCUAACACAUGCAAGUCGAGCGGUAGCACAGAGAGCUUGCUCUCGGGUGACGAGCGGCGGACGGGUGAGUAAUGUCUGGGAAACUGCCUGAUGGAGGGGGAUAACUACUGGAAACGGUAGCUAAUACCGCAUAAUGUCGCAAGACCAAAGUGGGGGACCUUCUGGCCUCAUGCCAUCAGAUGUGCCCAGAUGGGAUUAGCUAGUAGGUGGGGUAACGGCUCACCUAGGCGACGAUCCCUAGCUGGUCUGAGAGGAUGACCAGCCACACUGGAACUGAGACACGGUCCAGACUCCUACGGGAGGCAGCAGUGGGGAAUAUUGCACAAUGGGCGCAAGCCUGAUGCAGCCAUGCCGCGUGUGUGAAGAAGGCCUUCGGGUUGUAAAGCACUUUCAGCGGGGAGGAAGGCGNNNNNNNNNNNNNNNNNNNNNNNNNNUAAGGUUAAUAACCUCAUCGAUUGACGUUACCCGCAGAAGAAGCACCGGCUAACUCCGUGCCAGCAGCCGCGGUAAUACGGAGGGUGCAAGCGUUAAUCGGAAUUACUGGGCGUAAAGCGCACGCAGGCGGUCUGUCAAGUCGGAUGUGAAAUCCCCGGGCUCAACCUGGGAACUGCAUUCGAAACUGGCAGGCUAGAGUCUUGUAGAGGGGGGUAGAAUUCCAGGUGUAGCGGUGAAAUGCGUAGAGAUCUGGAGGAAUACCGGUGGCGAAGGCGGCCCCCUGGACAAAGACUGACGCUCAGGUGCGAAAGCGUGGGGAGCAAACAGGAUUAGAUACCCUGGUAGUCCACGCCGUAAACGAUGUCGAUUUGGAGGUUGUGCCCUUGAGGCGUGGCUUCCGGAGCUAACGCGUUAAAUCGACCGCCUGGGGAGUACGGCCGCAAGGUUAAAACUCAAAUGAAUUGACGGGGGCCCGCACAAGCGGUGGAGCAUGUGGUUUAAUUCGAUGCAACGCGAAGAACCUUACCUGGUCUUGACAUCCACAGAACUUNNNNNNNNNNNNNNNNNNNNUUGGUGCCUUCGGGAACUGUGAGACAGGUGCUGCAUGGCUGUCGUCAGCUCGUGUUGUGAAAUGUUGGGUUAAGUCCCGCAACGAGCGCAACCCUUAUCCUUUGUUGCCAGCGGUUCGGCCGGGAACUCAAAGGAGACUGCCAGUGAUAAACUGGAGGAAGGUGGGGAUGACGUCAAGUCAUCAUGGCCCUUACGACCAGGGCUACACACGUGCUACAAUGGCAUAUACAAAGAGAAGCGACCUCGCGAGAGCAAGCGGACCUCAUAAAGUAUGUCGUAGUCCGGAUUGGAGUCUGCAACUCGACUCCAUGAAGUCGGAAUCGCUAGUAAUCGUAGAUCAGAAUGCUACGGUGAAUACGUUCCCGGGCCUUGUACACACCGCCCGUCACACCAUGGGAGUGGGUUGCAAAAGAAGUAGGUAGCUUAACCUUCGGGAGGGCGCUUACCACUUUGUGAUUCAUGACUGGGGUGAAGUCGUAACAAGGUAACCGUAGGGGAACCUGCGGUUGGAUCACCU